GGCAGAUGAUGUCCAUUCUCACGAUGGUCUUCAGAUUGCCCCCCGUGGGCCCUGAUGACACCGCCGAAAGGCUCAGCUGAUGCCAGGGG
Molecule: small nucleolar RNA, 89 nt
Filed under: Ornithorhynchus anatinus (platypus)
Lineage: Eukaryota; Metazoa; Chordata; Mammalia; Monotremata; Ornithorhynchidae
Description: Small nucleolar RNA SNORD35 (ENSOANG00000036269.1)
Rfam family: Small nucleolar RNA SNORD35
About the family: U35 is a C/D box snoRNA located in intron 6 of ribosomal protein L13A and intron 3 of ribosomal protein S11 in humans and at homologous positions in mouse and chicken ribosomal protein genes. U35 guides the methylation of 2'-O-ribose sites in 28S rRNA.
Source: Rfam by way of RNAcentral